UACGUAGGGUGCGAGCGUUAAUCGGAAUUACUGGGCGUAAAGCGUGCGCAGGCGGUUCGUUAAGUCCGAUGUGAAAGCCCCGAGCUUAACUUGGGAAUGGCAUUGGAAACUGGCGGGCUGGAGUGCGGCAGAGGGGGGUGGAAUUCCACGUGUAGCAGUGAAAUGCGUAGAGAUGUGGAGGAACACCGAUGGCGAAGGCAGCCCCCUGGGCCGACACUGACGCUCAGGCACGAAAGCGUGGGGAGCAAACAGG
RNAcentral lists this ribosomal RNA (253 nucleotides) under uncultured bacterium. RNAcentral's name for it is "partial 16S ribosomal RNA". It matches the Rfam family "Bacterial small subunit ribosomal RNA", at positions 524 to 776 of the family's 1533-position model. The record is from RNAcentral.